UGCUUAUGGAGAAAGGCGGAGGGAUUAGACCCUGCGAUGUCUUGGCAACCUGUGCUUACAAGGUGCUACAUUCUACUUAGCCGGGAGAAAUCGGUUAGGAAAGAUAAGCG
RNAcentral lists this non-coding RNA (110 nucleotides) under Mucilaginibacter sp. RNAcentral describes it as "SAM-I sequence". It matches the Rfam family "SAM riboswitch aptamer (S box leader)". Rfam says of the family: The SAM riboswitch is found upstream of a number of genes which code for proteins involved in methionine or cysteine biosynthesis in Gram-positive bacteria. The SAM riboswitch acts at the level of transcription termination control. RNAcentral also lists the same sequence under 1 other name. Lineage: Bacteria; Pseudomonadati; Bacteroidota; Sphingobacteriia; Sphingobacteriales; Sphingobacteriaceae. The record is from RNAcentral.